AAAUCCAUUUCUCUUUGUGUGUGUGUGUUGGAUUAGGAUUUGGAUCGAGGAAGGAGAGAUGGUGUGGGGAUGAGACGGUGGACAGAGGAAGAGGGCGGAUCUGGAUCCAGGUAGAGUGGCCAGAGGAGCAGGCCACCAUCCCUCUUUACCUUCCACCCAACACCAACGUGGUUGUUGACUGCAGAAUCUGUGGUGAUCUACACUCUGUUGGUUCUUUCAUUCAGAGGGUGCUAGAGCUGCACUUAACUUGCUAGCAUCAUCGCCUUGUUCUUCCUGGCAACGAGUGAGGAUGGUGAGCCACAACACCACAAGGUUCUACAAAUGGUUCUCAGAGGUUUGACGGCAUAACAUCGCGCAGUCGAGCAAGUUUUGGUCAAUGUUUCAUGGCUCAAUCAACGAAUGGUGUUAAAACAGAAAAUCUUGAAAGCAAGAUCUUAAAUGAUUCCUACCUCGAGCUUCCAUCGAACACGACUUCGGUUGUUUCUUGGUUGUUCAAGUAUGCUCGAUGGUUCUUCAUCGAGGGUUGAGAUGGACCAUGCACUGGUUACAUCUUCUCCUAUCUCUCCAUGUUCUUAAUUUUCUUAUGCAAUGAGUGCUGGAUUUAGACAACAGUUUGCGCAGUCCAUGCUUUUACAUUGAAAAUGAGAAGAUGAAAUGACGGGUUUGGACAGUGCUGGUGUUUCUUUUUUUUUGGGCAUUACAUUACUAAAAUGAACUAUAUUUACAAUUGUUGAACUCCAUAGCUAAUAAGAUGAUUAUUUAUUUU
Molecule: long non-coding RNA, 766 nt
Organism: Triticum aestivum (bread wheat)
Lineage: Eukaryota; Viridiplantae; Streptophyta; Magnoliopsida; Poales; Poaceae
Exons: 6
Source: RefSeq, a predicted model, not a curated record